AUACGUAGGGUGCGAGCGUUGUCCGGAGUUACUGGGCGUAAAGAGCUCGUAGGUGGUUUGUCGCGUCGUCUGUGAAAUUCCGGGGCUUAACUCCGGGCGUGCAGGCGAUACGGGCAUAACUUGAGUACUGUAGGGGAGACUGGAAUUCCUGGUGUAGCGGUGAAAUGCGCAGAUAUCAGGAGGAACACCGGUGGCGAAGGCGGGUCUCUGGGCAGUAACUGACGCUGAGGAGCGAAAGCAUGGGUAGCGAACAGGAUUAGAUACUCUGGUAGUCCAUGCCGUAAACGGUGGGCGCUAGGUGUAGGGGUCUUCCACGACUUCUGUGCCGUAGCUAACGCAUUAAGCGCCCCGCCUGGGGAGUACGGCCGCAAGGCUAAAACUCAAAGGAAUUGACGGGG
RNAcentral lists this ribosomal RNA (398 nucleotides) under uncultured bacterium. RNAcentral describes it as "partial 16S ribosomal RNA". It matches the Rfam family "Bacterial small subunit ribosomal RNA", at positions 523 to 918 of the family's 1533-position model. The record is from RNAcentral.